GACGAACGCUGGCGGCGUGCUUAACACAUGCGAGUCGAACGGAAAGGCCCUGCUUUUGUGGGGUGCUCGAGUGGCGAAAGGGUGAGUAACACGUGAGUAACCUGCCCUUGACUUUGGGAUAACUUCAGGAAACUGGGGCUAAUACCGGAUAGGAGCUCCUGCUGCAUGGUGGGGGUUGGAAAGUUUCGGCGGUUGGGGAUGGACUCGCGGCUUAUCAGCGUGUUGGUGGGGUAGUGGCUUACCAAGGCUUUGACGGGUAGCCGGCCUGAGAGGGUGACCGGCCACAUUGGGACUGAGAUACGGCCCAGACUCCUACGGGAGGCAGCAGUGGGGAAUAUUGCACAAUGGGCGGAAGCCUGAUGCAGCAACGCCGCGUGCGGGAUGACGGCCUUCGGGUUGUAAACCGCUUUCGCCUGUGACGAAGCGUGAGUGACGGUAAUGGGUAAAGAAGCACCGGCUAACUACGUG
RNAcentral lists this ribosomal RNA (468 nucleotides) under uncultured bacterium. Its description in RNAcentral is "partial 16S ribosomal RNA". It matches the Rfam family "Bacterial small subunit ribosomal RNA", at positions 28 to 507 of the family's 1533-position model. The record is from RNAcentral.